RNAcentral lists this ribosomal RNA (1077 nucleotides) under human gut metagenome. RNAcentral describes it as "bacterial SSU rRNA". It matches the Rfam family "Bacterial small subunit ribosomal RNA", at positions 8 to 1076 of the family's 1533-position model. The record is from RNAcentral.
AGAGUUUGAUCCUGGCUCAGAUUGAACGCUGGCGGCAUGCCUUACACAUGCAAGUCGAACGGCAGCAUGGAGAGCUUGCUCUCUGAUGGCGAGUGGCGAACGGGUGAGUAAUACAUCGGAACGUGUCCGUUUGUGGGGGACAACCGUCCGAAAGGAUGGCUAAUACCGCAUAAGACCUGAGGGUGAAAGCCGGGGACCGCAAGGCCCGGCGCAGACGGAGCGGCCGAUGAUUGAUUAGCUAGUUGGGGAGGUAAAGGCUCACCAAGGCGACGAUCAAUAGCUGGUCUGAGAGGACGACCAGCCACACUGGAACUGAGACACGGUCCAGACUCCUACGGGAGGCAGCAGUGGGGAAUUUUGGACAAUGGGGGCAACCCUGAUCCAGCCAUGCCGCGUGCGGGAAGAAGGCCUUCGGGUUGUAAACCGCUUUUGUCAGGGACGAAAAGCUCCGGAGUAAUAUGCCGGAGUGCUGACGGUACCUGAAGAAUAAGCACCGGCUAACUACGUGCCAGCAGCCGCGGUAAUACGUAGGGUGCAAGCGUUAAUCGGAAUUACUGGGCGUAAAGCGUGCGCAGGCGGUUGGGUAAGACAGAUGUGAAAUCCCCGGGCUUAACCUGGGAACUGCAUUUGUGACUGUCCGACUGGAGUACGUCAGAGGGGGGUGGAAUUCCACGUGUAGCAGUGAAAUGCGUAGAUAUGUGGAAGAACACCGAUGGCGAAGGCAGCCCCCUGGGACGCAACUGACGCUCAUGCACGAAAGCGUGGGGAGCAAACAGGAUUAGAUACCCUGGUAGUCCACGCCCUAAACGAUGUCUGCUGGUUGUUGGGAAUUUAAUUCUCAGUAACGAAGCCAACGCGUGAAGCAGACCGCCUGGGGAGUACGGUCGCAAGAUUAAAACUCAAAGGAAUUGACGGGGACCCGCACAAGCGGUGGAUGAUGUGGAUUAAUUCGAUGCAACGCGAAAAACCUUACCCAGCCUUGACAUGUCAGGAAUGCCUCGGAGAUGAGGCAGUGCCCGCAAGGGAACCUGAGCACAGGUGCUGCAUGGCUGUCGUCAGCUCGUGUCGUGAGAUGUU